Molecule: ribosomal RNA, 483 nt
Filed under: uncultured bacterium
Lineage: Bacteria
Description: partial 16S ribosomal RNA
Rfam family: Bacterial small subunit ribosomal RNA
Source: RNAcentral
AUUGAACGCUGGCGGCAUGCUUUACACAUGCAAGUCGAACGGCAGCGCGGGCUUCGGCCUGGCGGCGAGUGGCGAACGGGUGAGUAAUACAUCGGAACGUGCCCAGUAGUGGGGGAUAGCGCGGCGAAAGCCGGAUUAAUACCGCAUACGACCUGAGGGUGAAAGCGGGGGAUCUUCGGACCUCGCGCUAUUGGAGCGGCCGAUGGCAGAUUAGCUAGUUGGUGGGGUAAAGGCCUACCAAGGCGACGAUCUGUAGCUGGUCUGAGAGGACGACCAGCCACACUGGGACUGAGACACGGCCCAGACUCCUACGGGAGGCAGCAGUGGGGAAUUUUGGACAAUGGGCGAAAGCCUGAUCCAGCAAUGCCGCGUGUGUGAUGAAGGCCUUCGGGUUGUAAAGCACUUUUGGCGGGAACGAAAAGGACUGUGCCAAUACCACGGUUCGAUGACGGUACCCGCAGAAUAAGCACCGGCUAACUACGU